This 432-nucleotide ribosomal RNA is filed under the name uncultured bacterium. Its description in RNAcentral is "partial 16S ribosomal RNA". It matches the Rfam family "Bacterial small subunit ribosomal RNA", at positions 29 to 506 of the family's 1533-position model. The record is from RNAcentral.
AACGAACGCUGGCGGCAUGCCUAACACAUGCAAGUCGAACGAGACCUUCGGGUCUAGUGGCGCACGGGUGCGUAACGCGUGGGAACCUGCCCUUAGGUUCGGAAUAACUCCCCGAAAGGGGUGCUAAUACCGGAUAAUGUCUUCGGACCAAAGAUUUAUCGCCUUUGGAUGGGCCCGCGUUGGAUUAGCUAGUUGGUAGGGUAAAAGCCUGCCAAGGCGACGAUCCAUAGCUGGUCUGAGAGGAUGAUCAGCCACACUGGGACUGAGACACGGCCCAGACUCCUACGGGAGGCAGCAGUGGGGAAUAUUGGACAAUGGGCGAAAGCCUGAUCCAGCAAUGCCGCGUGAGUGAUGAAGGCCUUAGGGUUGUAAAGCUCUUUUACCCGGGAUGAUAAUGACAGUACCGGGAGAAUAAGCUCCGGCUAACUCCGU